This 401-nucleotide ribosomal RNA is filed under the name Gastropteron rubrum. RNAcentral's name for it is "partial 16S ribosomal RNA". It matches the Rfam family "Archaeal large subunit ribosomal RNA", at positions 1920 to 2665 of the family's 2987-position model. Lineage: Eukaryota; Metazoa; Mollusca; Gastropoda; Cephalaspidea; Gastropteridae. The record is from RNAcentral.
AGCUUUAAGUAUUUAUUUAAAGUGAAGCCUGCCCAGUGAAAAUUCAACGGCCGCGGUACCUUGACCGUGCUAAGGUAGCAUAAUAAAUUGGCCUUUAAUUGGGGUCUGGAAUGAAUGGAAAAACGUAACUAAGCUGUCUCCCUUUUAUUAUUCUUAAUUUACUAAUUAGGUGAAAAGGCCUAAGAAAGAUAAUAGACGAGAAGACCCUUAGAGUUUAUAAAUGUUUUUGUUGGGGCGACAUGGGAUUAAAUCAUCCCUUUUUUAUAUGACAUAUAUAUUGCACAGUUAAACUACCUAAGGGAUAACAGCAUAAUCUUUUUAGGUUUAUGACCUCGAUGUUGGAUUAGGGAAUCAUUUGGUUAGCCACCAGAUGAUAAAAUUCUGUUCGAAUUAUUUAUCCU